AUUGAACGCUGCGGCAGGCCUAACACAUGCAAGUCGAACGAGUGGCGGACGGGUGAGUAAUGUCUGUGAAACUGCCUGAUGGAGGGGGAUAACUACCGGAAACGGUAGCUAAUACCGCAUACCAUCGGAUUUGCCCAGAUGGGAUUAGCUAGUAGGUGGGGUAAAGGCCCACCUAGGCGACGAUCCCUAGAUGGUCUGAGAGGAUGACCAGCCACACUGGAACUGAGACACGGUCCAGACGCCUCCGGGAGGCAGCAGUGGGGAAUAUUGCGCAAUGGGCGCAGGCUUGAUGCAGCCGUGCCGCGUGUAUGAAGAAGGCCUUCGGGUUGUAAAGUACUUUCAGCGGGAAGGCGUUACCCGCAGAAGAAGCCCCGGCUAACUCCGUGCCAGCAGCCGCGGUAAUUC
RNAcentral lists this ribosomal RNA (405 nucleotides) under uncultured bacterium. Its description in RNAcentral is "partial 16S ribosomal RNA". It matches the Rfam family "Bacterial small subunit ribosomal RNA", at positions 30 to 526 of the family's 1533-position model. The record is from RNAcentral.